RNAcentral lists this ribosomal RNA (403 nucleotides) under uncultured bacterium. RNAcentral describes it as "bacterial SSU rRNA". It matches the Rfam family "Bacterial small subunit ribosomal RNA", at positions 355 to 773 of the family's 1533-position model. The record is from RNAcentral.
UAAGGAAUCUUCCACAAUGGGCGAAAGCCUGAUGGAGCAACGCCGCGUGCAGGAUGAAGGCCCUCGGGUCGUAAACUGCUUUUAUGAGUGAAGAAUAUGACGGUAACUCAUGAAUAAGGGUCGGCUAACUACGUGCCAGCAGCCGCGGUCAUACGUAGGACCCAAGCGUUAUCCGGAGUGACUGGGCGUAAAGAGUUGCGUAGGUGGCUUGUAAAGUGAAUAGUGAAAUCUGGGGGCUCAACCUCACAGGCUAUUAUUCAAACUCACAAGCUCGAGAAUGAUAGAGGUAACUGGAAUUUCUGAAGUAGGGGUAAUAUCCGUAGAUAUCAGAAGGAACACCAAUGGCGUAGGCAGGUUACUGGAUCAUUUCUGACACUGAGGCACGAAAGCGUGGGGAGCGAAC